GAUGAAGAACGCAGUGAAAUGCGAUACUUGGUGUGAAUUGCAGAAUCCCGUGAACCAUCAAGUCUUUGAACGCAAGUUGCGCCCGAAGCCAUUAGGCCGAGGGCACGCCUGCCUGGGCGUCACACGUCGUUGCCCCCCCAUCUACUCCUUCGGGAUUGCGGGGGGCGGAUGAUGGCCUCCCGUGCGCCUCGUCGCGCGGUUGGCAUAAAUGCCAAGUCCUCGGCGACGCACGCCACGACAAUCGGUGGUUGCGAAACCUCGGUUGCCCGUCGUGUGCGGUCGUCGCGCAUCGAGGGCUCGAAAAAAUUGUCGGGCUCCGGCUCGGCUUUCAACGCGACCCCAGGUCAGGCGGGGUUACCCGCUGAAUUUAAGCAUAUCAAUAAGCGGAGGA
This 391-nucleotide unclassified non-coding RNA is filed under the name soil metagenome. RNAcentral's name for it is "partial contains 5.8S ribosomal RNA, internal transcribed spacer 2, and large subunit ribosomal RNA". The stretch from base 1 to 122 matches the Rfam family "5.8S ribosomal RNA", at positions 35 to 154 of the family's 154-position model. The record is from RNAcentral.